ACACGUGCUACAAUGGGUGGUACAAAGAGAUGCAAUCUCGCAAGAGCAAGCAAACCUCAAAAAGCCAUCCUCAGUUCGGAUUGGAGUCUGCAACUCGACUCCAUGAAGUCGGAAUCGCUAGUAAUCGCGGAUCAGCACGCCGCGGUGAAUACGUUCCCGGGCCUU
Molecule: ribosomal RNA, 165 nt
Filed under: uncultured Syntrophus sp.
Lineage: Bacteria; Pseudomonadati; Thermodesulfobacteriota; Syntrophia; Syntrophales; Syntrophaceae
Description: partial 16S ribosomal RNA
Rfam family: Bacterial small subunit ribosomal RNA
Source: RNAcentral